RNAcentral lists this transfer RNA (67 nucleotides) under Rhyacophila quadrifida. Its description in RNAcentral is "tRNA-Trp". The record is from RNAcentral. Lineage: Eukaryota; Metazoa; Arthropoda; Insecta; Trichoptera; Rhyacophilidae.
AAGAUUUUAAGUUAAAAAAAACUAAAAAUUUUCAAAAUUUUAAUUAAAGAAAUAUCUUUAAAUCUUA